RNAcentral lists this ribosomal RNA (852 nucleotides) under uncultured bacterium. Its description in RNAcentral is "bacterial SSU rRNA". It matches the Rfam family "Bacterial small subunit ribosomal RNA", at positions 8 to 866 of the family's 1533-position model. The record is from RNAcentral.
AGAGUUUGAUCAUGGCUCAGAAUGAACGUUGGCGGCGUGGAUUAGGCAUGCAAGUCGUGCGAGAAGUCAAUUAGCUUGCUAAGAGACGGACAGCGGCGAAAGGGAGAGUAACGCGUGGUUACGUACCCAGAGGACCAGGAUAGCGUUGGGAAACCGGCAGUAAUACUGGAUAAUAUCUUUGGAUCAAAUGGUGUGAUUCCGCCUGUGGAUCGGACCGCGUACUAUUAGCUUGUUGGUGGGGUAAUGGCCUACCAAGGCUGCGAUGGUUACCGGGUGUGAGAGCAUGGCCCGGCUCACUGGGACUGAGACACUGCCCAGACACCUACGGGUGGCUGCAGUCGAGAAUCUUCGGCAAUGGACGAAAGUCUGACCGAGCGACGCCGCGUGCGGGAUGAAGGCCUUCGGGUUGUAAACCGCUGUCAGUUGGGAGGAAAGGCCUGUGAAGAGCAGGCCCUGACCGAUCUUCAGAGGAAGGACGGGCUAAGUUCGUGCCAGCAGCCGCGGUAAGACGAACCGUCCAAACGUUAUUCGGUAUCACUGGGCUUAAAGCGUGCGUAGGCGGCCUGGCAGGUGAGAUGUGAAAGCCCACGGCUCAACCGUGGAAUUGCGUUUCAAACCGUCAGGCUUGAGGAAGACAGGGGUGUCGGGAACUUAUGGUGGAGCGGUGAAAUGCGUUGAUAUCAUAGGGAACACCGGUGGCGAAGGCGCGACACUGGGUCUUUACUGACGCUGAGGCACGAAAGCUAGGGUAGCGAACGGGAUUAGGUACCUCGGUAGUCCUAGCCGUAAACGAUGAACACUGGGGUUGAGGGGACUUCCACAUCCUCUCGGCCGUAGCGAAAGCGUUAAGUG